AACGAACGCUGGCGGCAUGCCUAACACAUGCAAGUCGAACGAGACCUUCGGGUCUAGUGGCGCACGGGUGCGUAACGCGUGGGAACCUGCACUUAGGUUCGGAAUAACUCCCCGAAAGGGGUGCUAAUACCGGAUAAUGUCUUCGGACCAAAGAUUUAUCGCCUUUGGAUGGGCCCGCGUUGGAUUAGCUAGUUGGUAGGGUAAAAGCCUACCACGGCGACGAUCCAUAGCUGGUCUGAGAGGAAGAUCAGCCACACUGGGUCUGAGACACGGCCCAGACUCCUACGCGAGGCAGCAGAGGGGAAUAUUGGACAAUGGGCGAAAGCCUGAUCCAGCAAUGCCGCGUGAGUGAUGAAGGCCUGAGGGUUGUAAAGCUCUUUUACCCGCGAUGAUAAUGACAGUACCGGGAGAAUAAGCUCCGGCUAACUCCGUG
Molecule: ribosomal RNA, 433 nt
Filed under: uncultured bacterium
Lineage: Bacteria
Description: partial 16S ribosomal RNA
Rfam family: Bacterial small subunit ribosomal RNA
Source: RNAcentral